This is a non-coding RNA of Cordylochernes scorpioides, 86 nucleotides long. The record is from the annotation of a GenBank genome assembly. NCBI's taxonomy places the organism in Eukaryota, Metazoa, Arthropoda, Arachnida, Pseudoscorpiones, Chernetidae.
CAACUGGCUGUGAUGAUGUCUCACAGGAAGUGGCAGGAUACCUGGCUCUCACCCAGGAGGCCUGGGUUCGAUUCCCUGGGGAUUGG